GAUAAACGCUGGCGGCGUGCCUAAUACAUGCAAGUCGAACGCUUAAUAUCCAGCUUGCUGGAUAGAGAGAGUGGCGAACGGGUGAGUAAUACAUAAGCAACCUGCCUACAAGGACUGGGAUAACUUCUGGAAACGGAUGCUAAUACCGGAUAGGUAAUAGGAAGACAUCUUCUUAUUAUUAAAGGUUAAAAACACAAGUAGAUGGGCUUAUGGCGCAUUAGUUAGUUGGUGAGGUAACGGCCCACCAAGACGAUGAUGCGUAGCCGGCCUGAGAGGGUGAACGGCCACAUUGGGACUGAGACACGGCCCAAACUCCUACGGGAGGCAGCAGUAGGGAAUUUUCGGCAAUGGGCGCAAGCCUGACCGAGCAACGCCGCGUGAGUGAUGAAGGUUUUCGGAUUGUAAAGCUCUGUUGUAAGGGAAGAACGUCUUGGAGAGAAUCCAGGAGUGACGGUACCUUACCAGAAAGCCACGGCUAACUACGUG
RNAcentral lists this ribosomal RNA (486 nucleotides) under uncultured organism. RNAcentral's name for it is "bacterial SSU rRNA". It matches the Rfam family "Bacterial small subunit ribosomal RNA", at positions 28 to 507 of the family's 1533-position model. The record is from RNAcentral.